GUUAGGAAUCUUCCACAAUGGGGGCAACCCUGAUGGAGCAACACCGCGUGCUGGAUGAAGGCCUUCGGGUCGUAAACAGCUUUUGUAUACGAAGAAUAUGACGGUAAUAUACGAAUAAGGGUCGGCUAACUACGUGCCAGCAGCCGUGGUCAUACGUAGGACCCAAGCGUUAUCCGGAGUGACUGGGCGUAAAGAGUUGCGUAGGCGGCUUAUUAAGCGAGUAGUGAAAGCUGGUGGCUCAACCAUCAACACAUUGCUCGAACUGAUAGGCUUGAGAAUGGUAGAGGUAGUUGGAAUUUCUUGUGUAGGAGUGAAAUCCGUAGAUAUAAGAAGGAACACCAAUGGCGUAGGCAGACUACUGGACCAUUUCUGACGCUGAGGCACGAAAGCGUGGGGAGCGAACCGGAUUAGAAACCCCUGUAGUCC
RNAcentral lists this ribosomal RNA (426 nucleotides) under uncultured bacterium. Its description in RNAcentral is "partial 16S ribosomal RNA". It matches the Rfam family "Bacterial small subunit ribosomal RNA", at positions 354 to 796 of the family's 1533-position model. The record is from RNAcentral.